CCUGGUGGCAGCACUUAACUGAACCUGGCAGAUUUUGAAAAAACUAAACAGAAUCAGAUUUGGUUUGUAUUAGGAUAGGAGACUACUAGGAAAUUCCAAGGUUGUAAGCU
RNAcentral lists this ribosomal RNA (110 nucleotides) under Notechis scutatus (mainland tiger snake). The record is from RNAcentral. Lineage: Eukaryota; Metazoa; Chordata; Lepidosauria; Squamata; Elapidae.